Molecule: transfer RNA, 72 nt
Filed under: Cavia porcellus (domestic guinea pig)
Lineage: Eukaryota; Metazoa; Chordata; Mammalia; Rodentia; Caviidae
Rfam family: tRNA
About the family: Transfer RNA (tRNA) molecules are approximately 80 nucleotides in length. Their secondary structure includes four short double-helical elements and three loops (D, anti-codon, and T loops). Further hydrogen bonds mediate the characteristic L-shaped molecular structure. tRNAs have two regions of fundamental functional importance: the anti-codon, which is responsible for specific mRNA codon recognition, and the 3' end, to which the tRNAs corresponding amino acid is attached (by aminoacyl-tRNA synthetases). tRNAs cope with the degeneracy of the genetic code in two manners: having more than one tRNA (with a specific anti-codon) for a particular amino acid; and 'wobble' base-pairing, i.e. permitting non-standard base-pairing at the 3rd anti-codon position.
Source: Rfam by way of RNAcentral
GGAGACUUAGCUUAGCAGCAAGGCGUCUGCCUGGCAAGCACACGGUCCUGAGCUUGAUUCUCAGUACCACCA